Molecule: long non-coding RNA, 795 nt
Organism: Ruditapes philippinarum (Manila clam)
Lineage: Eukaryota; Metazoa; Mollusca; Bivalvia; Venerida; Veneridae
Exons: 4
Source: RefSeq, a predicted model, not a curated record
UUGUUACAACGGGUACCAGGUAAUCUAACAUGGCGGAGAUGUAGACACGCUGCUGCGGAAAAUUUUCUUUUCAAAUGAUUUCAACUUAUUCACGUUUUGUGGUACGUCAUGCAAGAGAUCAGAGAAAAAAACUCUAAGAGAAGUGAAGGUGACAAAUUGGACCAAAAAGACUUGCAUACUCAGAUUAAGACAGACAAAGAUAUUUACAUUGCCACCCCAUUAAUACCAACACCAACACAAUCAAGUAAAAGAUCAACACGUUUGAGAAAAUUAAAAUUCCUUGGGAGGAGAAUCAACCACCAGUGGACAGAAUCAGACGGCUCUCUGAAUUGGUACAAAGGCACCGUGCUUUCUGUUUCUUCUGGAAAAGACGGAAAUCCUGAUGCAGUAUAUGAGGUGCUAUAUGAAGGCGAAGACGCGUCAUAUGAAGUAGAUUCUUUGAUCAAAGACUAUAAUGAAGGCACCUUAACUUUCAUAGAUUUGUAAUGGUAAUGGAGAUUCAGUGUCACUAAAAUAGAUGUUACUUUAAAAGUUUUCAUUCAUCAUAUCACAUAUUUAUCAUUGGAAGGAACUUUAUUUUGACAUACAAGUUUCAUGUGCUGCAAACUGAUUCAGGUAAGGCUUUUGCUUUUAUUUUAAUUUUCUUUUUUCUUUUUAGGCAAUGUAACAGCUUCUUUAUAGGUAAAGGAUUAAUGCCUCAACACUUUCCUUUUCAAAUGUACCUCAGAAUACUUCAGUUGAAAGUUUGAAUUUUUGACCUAAAAUUUUCAACAAAACAAUAUGGCUGACAUUUGA